RNAcentral lists this long non-coding RNA (1882 nucleotides) under Gossypium barbadense (sea-island cotton). RNAcentral describes it as "long non-coding RNA (GBAR_LNC019706)". Lineage: Eukaryota; Viridiplantae; Streptophyta; Magnoliopsida; Malvales; Malvaceae. The record is from RNAcentral.
ACACUUCUUUGACUUCUUCAAGACAACCUCUCCAUCCUCAUCAAUCUCACUACUCACUAGAUCUAAGGAUUCUAAGUAAUCUGUUGCACUCCCAACCCCACUAGACUCACCUACUAUGGUUGUUUUAACAUAUGCCCUUCUUUCAUUAAUUUCUAAAAUAAGGUCAUCGAAAACUACCUCAAUUGGGAUGUCACGUUGCCUAACAUCUCUAUCUUCUACAUUAUCCGUAAAACUUCUAAAGAGAUUGUUAAUCUCCUGCAACUCCUCAUCAUCUUUGUCACUAGCCUACUCAACAUUUUCUAAUGGAUCAUCAUCACUACCUUCAGCUUCUUCAACCCCCUUGCACUCUCUAAGAAAUUCCUCACGUCCCUCACAAUUUGGAUCUACACCCUCGCUAUUCUCAUUAAUGUUGUUAUACGCUAAGGAUCACAAACCCGAAACCCAAAUAAGAUCUGGGUCAUCUACCCGCAACUCGGAUAGACUCUGCCAGAGGAACGUGAGCGAGGCAUGUAGCAAGAGGUCAACAGGAGGAGCUCGCAACUCAUUUCCAUUGAAGGGGACAAUUCAGUAUUUAUACAUGUUAUCAUUGUUCAUAACUUGACUCCACUGUUCAUGAUUUGACUCCACUAUUCAUGGGACUGACAUUUUAAGCGAGCCUCGGGCAUAUUGGACACAUGUACUCCUUGUGUAUGCACGGGCUGAAACCGCAAACUCCCUUUAGCGUGUGCAAGCUGAUGCUGCAAGCUCCCCCUGCUGACCUCUCGCUUAUUCACACAUCUACAUGUGAUUAAAAGAGUUAUUAUCCCAAACACAGAACUAAACCAACAUCUAAACUACUCCUUGGUGUUAAAUAAUACAAAUUUUUAACACCCCUGCACCGUGACUCUAUAACCAACUCACACAGAUCUCCAUGUCACAAAUAAUCAGGGAUACAUCCCACACUUCAACAACCCCACCUAUAUAAUCUACCUUAGGGUUAUCAACAAAUGUAUCACCUAAAUGCAUGAGUUUUGUGAAGGCCAUCUCAAACUGCACAAUCCAUUACAAGCAUCAUCCACAACAUUUUAUCAGAAUAAAAUAUUUUAAUAAUUAAAUUAACACACCGGUAUUCAUAAACAAAUAGAUUCAUAUUUUAACAAUUAAAUAAACACAUAAACACACCAAAAGAAAAUAUUUUAACAAUUAAAUUAAAUAUUACACAUGCAUCAUCCACAACAUUUGAUUAGAAGUCCAUUAUUUUUUUGCAUAAGUAGCAGAUUUUAUAAAUUAAAGGGGCCUAAUUUGUCUAUAUCCCUAUGUACACUUACAAACCCACUAUACUCUUUUUUCAAUAACCUUGAACAGACAAAACCACUGUAAAAAAGAAGGAACAAAUUAGGUUUUUUACCAAAAUAAUACGAAACUUGAUCGCAUAUCCAUAACGAAAAUAGGGUCUUACCAUAAUAUAAGGAAAGCAGGGUUUCACUUCAGUAAGGUUUUCUCGAAAUAUGAAUAUGUAUUUCACUUGAAGGUGGGUUUUUAGCAACUUGAAAGUACGGUUCAGUGGUGAACUGAUCAAAUGUUCGAUAGAUGGAAAUAUAGUUCGACCAAAAUACGAGAUUUUUCAAUAAUCAAAACACUGAAAGAUCAAUAAAGGUGGGAUAUUUCGAAAUGAAUAACAUGCAAAAUGGGUUCUUUUUUCAUUGGAACAUUUUUCCUAAUGCAACAGUAGUGAAUCUUAGUUAUCUGGUGUUAGAUUGGUUGGAAAAAAAAUCAAGAGCAUGAGAAGGAAUGGGAAUGACAAUGGAUUUCAGAUUGAAGGAAAAAGGGGAAAGGGAAUGGUUAGGGAUUACAGAUCAAAGGUUAUGAAACUUGAUUUAAUUUUUUUGUGUUUUGUUUAUCA